RNAcentral lists this ribosomal RNA (484 nucleotides) under uncultured bacterium. Its description in RNAcentral is "partial 16S ribosomal RNA". It matches the Rfam family "Bacterial small subunit ribosomal RNA", at positions 28 to 523 of the family's 1533-position model. The record is from RNAcentral.
GAUGAACGCUGGCGGCGUGCUUAACACAUGCAAGUCGAACGGUGAAGCAGGAGCUUGCUCUUGUGGAUCAGUGGCGAACGGGUGAGUAACACGUGAGCAACCUGCCCCUGACUCUGGGAUAAGCGCUGGAAACGGCGUCUAAUACUGGAUAUGUGAUGUGACCGCAUGGUCUGCAUCUGGAAAGAAUUUCGGUUGGGGAGGGGCUCGCGGCCUAUCAGCUUGUUGGUGAGGUAAUGGCUCACCAAGGCGUCGACGGGUAGCCGGCCUGAGAGGGUGACCGGCCACACUGGGGCUGAGACACGGCCCAGACUCCUACGGGAGGCAGCAGUGGGGAAUAUUGCACAAUGGGCGGAAGCCUGAUGCAGCAACGCCGCGUGAGGGAUGACGGCCUUCGGGUUGUAAACCUCUUUUAGCAGGGAAGAAGCGAAAGUGACGGUACCUGCAGAAAAAGCACCGGCUAACUACGUGCCAGCAGCCGCGGUAA